CCAAACUCUGCUGGAUCGGAGCGCUAAAGGAAGACUUCCGGACAUGAGGCCUGCUGUCCAAGAGGCUCAUGACUGGCCUUUCAGAAGUAUGAAACAGGCCUCUGUGGAGAGAUCCAGCCAGGGCCUCCCAACCACUGACCUUAACUCUCAGCCCUAAUAUCUUACAGUAGCUCGGCCAUCUUCAACCAGGAGGCCAUAGUCUCCGAUAGGUGAAAAUUGAUUGAUUGGGUUUCGCCAUUGUUUUUCGCACCAUACACAGAGUAGACUUCUCCAAGUUUUGUUCCAUAGCGCGCUAGUGACGAGUUAGGAUGCUCAGUCUCUGACAUGAGAAGUAACGCAUCUCUUUGAUCCUUUGUACAGCAAAAAAACUACUGCAGUCCCAGGAUCAGAGAGUGUGGUCUAGGAGCAGACAGGUGCUGAGCUGCAGCCUGGUCUGGGGUCAGUGACCAGACCUUUGUGAAAGUAAAGUGCAUGAGCAGAGGGAGGGAGACAUGCUGUAACAGCAGCUGGCCAUCGCUACUAGACACCAUGCUUCAGUGAUUAACAGCUUUUCUGAUAGGAAAGAGCUUCUAUUAUGCACUCUCACUCAAUGCAGAUCAUUUAUACUGAUACCCUAUUGUGUACAAGAGCACAACCCACUCAGACCUGCUUAAGGUAUACAGAGAUGUUUUAAUAUGGGAAUGCAACCUGUCAAACCCCAUAGUUUCAAUCAGCAAUGUGUAAGAGUGGUCCACAUUUAAUGCUUUGUCAUGUCUGUAUGUGGUUUGUGAGGGCACCACUAAGUGAUGGUCAUGAUCUAUAGGCAGGCGUGGCAGCAUUAUAUCUGAGCUCUUCUUUCCAUCGUGGCUGGGUUUCCCCACAGCCAACACAUGGAGUCUAGACAGGAGCCCUGAUCCAGCCAGCCUGCCAGUCCUUCACAUAAUAUAGCUGCUCCAAUCUAGGCUGUUUUCACUCUCAGUCCUGCAGCUAUUUUACUGAAGACGUCGAACACCCUUCCUGCCUUCCACACACACAACCUGUCUUGUUCAUGUGUGACAAUAAAACUUGAAACUGAACACAAAGAGAAGUUACACUCAGCUGGAAUCCACGCGGAAUCUUCCGGAACAUUUUAGCAUGGGCCGCCGGCGUGUAAUUUUCCAGGCAAAGGGAGCAGGGAAUACUUUUGGGGUCCAGGCGGGAAAUCCAAUACUAUUAUUAGCUUUAGCAGGAGAAAUUGCCCAGGUAUUCACCGUUCCAAACCAGAGAGGAAAUGUGCUGUUAGCUCCAGCAGUUUGGAGUCGUUUGGCUCUCAGAAAAGGGUGGAUGGCAGCAUGAAUACUGAGAAACAGGGGUUCUAGAAUAAUAUUUUGAUUACUCCAUCAGUGAGAAUAUUGUUCAUUGUGGUAAUUCACUCAUCCAAGACACUCAUGUUUUUAGAUUUAACACUAGGUUCCUCACAGUUUGCCGUUGCCAUGCCUCAUCUGAUUUAGUUUAUUCAAAAGUGUAGGACAAUGUAGUAUAACAAAGAUAACUGUUGAAUAACAAAGAGCUUGGCGGUCUAUAGGAUCCAUGUGGCAUGUGUGUCAUCAUGGGUUUUUGUAUGAACUAAAGAACCAACUAAAAUCACCCAUGCUCACAAAUGUCAUUCAGUCAUCUCUAUCGUCUGCAUUAGUCUAUUCCCGCCCCCCUAAGCGACAUAAUGGACCAUUCCAAAGUGACCCAUAUUUACCCAAUAACAGGAGGCUUUGAAAAGGCCCAGAUCGAGUUGCAGUUAAUGCUCCAGUGGGGCCCGGAGAGUGAAAGAUGUUACCGGCCGAAACGGCUUGGGUUUCAGAGGCCUGUGAACAAAAGGCAGCCAGUCCUCUGGGAGAAAAAGAACGAGGGGUAAGGGAGGGAAGGAAGGGGGAGAGAGGUGUAAGUCUGACUUUGUCAAAGCUGGUUCAGUGCACCGUGUAUACUGUUAAGUGUCUCAUUCACACAGUAUGUAUAGUAGUCAGUCUAUCGUGGUGUGUACCAAACUUCAUUGUAUGUUUGCAAAUGUUCUACCAAGAGUCCGUGAAAUAUUUGUCUGUCUAUUCAUUGUGUGUCUGUAGUCUUCCUCUGUCUGUGUAUUCAGUGUCAAGUACAGUCAGUGUUAUUUCCACUAAAGAGAAGGGUGAUGUGAUGGAUUGCUGAAGUGUGUGUGUGUGCGCAUUCGUUGGAAGCGUCUAUGCUGGUGUGUGUAUAAAGUAGAGCUUUGGGACGAGAUGCACUUACAGGAGCAGAGUUAAUGGAGCAGUGCUGAACUAACGGGUGGUGUUAGGGGGAGCAGAGUUAAUGGAGCAGUACUGAACUAACGGGUGGUGUUAGGGGGGGCAGAGUUAAUGGAGCAGUACUGAACUAACGGGUGGUGUUAGGGGGAGCAGAGUUAAUGGAGCAGUACUGAACUAACGGGUGGUGUUAGGGGGAGCAGAGUUAAUGGAGCAGUACUGAACUAACUGGUGGUGUUAGGGGGAGCAGAGUUAAUGGAGCAGUACUGAACUAACUGGUGGUGUUAGGGGGAGCAGAGUUAAUGGAGUAGUACUGAACUAACUGGUGGUGUUAGGGGGAGCAGAGUUAAUGGAGCAGUACUGAACUAACGGGUGGUGUUAAGGGGAGCAGAGUUAAUGGAGCAGUACUGAACUAACGGGUGGUGUUAGGGGGAGCAGAGUUAAUGGAGCAGUACAGAACUAACGGGUGGUGUUAGGGGGAGAAGACAGACUGUUGGUUUAAUGGCUGUAGACUAGAGGACUGGCUGGUGAUGAUACUCAAAGGUGAUUUCACUCUGCAUCCUCCUGCUCUCUCUCCAUCUCUUGCUCCUUCUCCCCCCAUUAUUUUCUCUCCUCUCUUCUCCUCCUUCCUUAGGGGCAGACUGGUAUAAAGUUACAGGGCUCUCAGCUUUCUUGGAAGGAAUGACCACAUGUGUAGCUUGGGGAUUAGAUUAGCAGGAAGAGCAGACUUAGCCGGACUGGAAAUAGACCACUUUUUCACUGUUAAAAAGGCCCAGUACAAUAUAAUCAAUAGACGGCACUCAUCUGCUGUGGGGAGAGGAGCAGGAAGCCAUCGGAGAAGGCCUCCCUCAAGUGCGCCGUGAAGGACUGGCUACAGGGAGCUCAUGCUUAAUGAAGUUAUUAUUAAUAAUCACUGCGAUGCCUGUUUUGGACUUGUGUUGUGUCUCUAGUGGGUGAAGUGGUCUUUAUGUACAAAACCCGAUCUGCCCUCUCUUUGUAUGUCUGGAACUUAACCACUGAUGACUAGACUUCAUUUUCUGUUAAUGUAAGUGCAUAGCACAUUAGUAAAUGCCAUAUUAAUGACCAUGUAUAUAUUAUGCUUAGCAGUUGGUUUUUAGAUAUUAGUCUAUUUUCCAUAUAUUGUAUAUCAUGGAAACUCACGAGGAAAAACAAUGUUAAAUACACACUGACACGCAUGCAAACUGCCAAAAAGAAAUGCUCCAUAAACACAUACUCCAACACACGUAUUCCACACACACACACACACACACCACCUCCUCCCUCCCAGUUUCACUCUGAGCCUCCCCACAGGUGUUGGGUUACUCUGUAAAGUAGACUGAACCGGAGCACAAAUCAGAGGGCUGUCUGUGCUCUCGCUUCCUAUUUCACUUUGAAGUUUCCCUGGCUCUCAGGGACAGGGGGCACAAAGCCUGACUCGUGUGGGGGCUUUAGCACUUUCUGCUGGGGCUGAGAGUGUGGGAAAGGAGGGGGGUGAGUGUGUGCUGUCUUUGUUGCUUUGGACCUCAGUCGCUUGAGGACUAUGUUAGCUUAGUAGCCAGAGACUGUAGAACCCACUGAGGGAGGCCAAGAGGAGGAGGGAGGAGAGUUGUUCCCCUAGUGCCCACUGAGCUAACUGACAGUCCAGGACCUGAGUGUGUGUGUGUGAGGAGGAAGGAUUAGAGAGGGUGGGGCUACAGGUCACCCCCCUCUAGUGGAAGAGCACUGGUCACCAUGGACUAGGGUCUAAGUCGACAGCUCGGCUGUUUUUCCAUCUACAGCUCAGAGUGAAAAUAAACAGUGACUUGCCAUCUUCUGAAAAGCUGAAAUAGGGUCCUUGGUGGGCUAGGGCUACAUCUGUACACACUUAAAAAUAAAAUAAACCUAGAAUGCUAUAUGGAGUGGCUACGGGUAGAGUUUCUAUAUCCCACUUUGUCCAGGCUAAAAACAUUAUCUGCCAUGUGCCCGCUCCGCUGCCUACGUAGCUGCUGUGCUGAGUGCUCCGUUGCCUACGUAGCUGCUGUGCUGAGUGCUCCGUUGCCUACGUAGCUGCUGUGCUGAGUGCUCCGUUGCCUACGUAGCUGCUGUGCUGAGUGCUCCGUUGCCUACGUAGCUGCUGUGCUGAGUGCUCCGCUGCCUACGUAGCUGCUGUGCUGAGUGCUCCGCUGCCUACGUAGCUGCUGUGCUGAGUGCUCCGCUGCCUACGUAGCUGCUGUGCUGAGUGCUCCGCUGCCUACGUAGCUGCUGUGCUGAGUGCUCCGCUGCCUACGUAGCUGCUGUGCUGAGUGUUCCGCU
This is a long non-coding RNA of Oncorhynchus tshawytscha (Chinook salmon), 4520 nucleotides long. The record is from Ensembl. Lineage: Eukaryota; Metazoa; Chordata; Actinopteri; Salmoniformes; Salmonidae.